Molecule: long non-coding RNA, 3682 nt
Organism: Phyllostomus hastatus (greater spear-nosed bat)
Lineage: Eukaryota; Metazoa; Chordata; Mammalia; Chiroptera; Phyllostomidae
Exons: 3
Source: RefSeq, a predicted model, not a curated record
CUUUCUGCCCCGGAAGUUUACAAUGUUCUAGCCCAGACCUGGGGAGUUGAUGGAAAUUUCAACUACAUUAGCCUCAGCUGUGAGGCCAGAGAGAUGCCAGGCAGAGCGUGAAGAGCUGGCGGAUGGAAAAGGGAGAGGGAGGACUAAGAGGGGUUACAGGAACCAGGGUCCGUGUCUGCAGGCCUUGUGGUGUCUGAGAACUCUGGGACUGCCGGUCUUCUUUGUGUCAUGUCCUCCCUCACAAGUGAUGAUGAUGAUGGUGCUGAUGAUGAAGGUAGCAGCUAACAUUUACAUAGUGCUAAGGACUUUUCAAACAUUAACUCACUUCAUCUUCAUAAAAGCCCUCUGAGGGCUCACACCUGAUGUCAACAUCUGCGUCAGUGCGUGUUGGGCUUCUGGGACUUGCUGCUGCGGACCGCACGGGGAGUGUCCAGCACUGAGUUCAGGAAGCCGUGGCAGGGGAUUGGACGAGGCCUCCAAAGCCUCCUACACGGAGCGGAGUUUCUAUGAUCUGCUUAUCAACCAUUUGCACUCAGAGCCUUUGUUUCUUCAAAAACUCUCUUUAAAAUGGGCCCUUGUCUACCUGCUGGAGUUGGGGGGCAAGGAAGCAGGAAGAAGGAGUUCUUAUUUCCUUUCAGACAGUGACUGUAUCCUGAGCAUCCCCUAUGGUGGAGAUGCAAAAAGAGGGAAAGAUGAAGAGGGCGGGCAGCGGAAUGUACGGAGGGCACCACCAGCAGCUCCAGUUCCGUGGGGACUGGUACCCUGCCUGUAGCUGCCCUCGAUGCUGUGCUGGCUUGUUUAUCAUGGGUUAUUUUACGAUUUAUUUGUCAUUUAUUGUGUUACUUAUCUGUCCUUCAAAUCUAAAUGAUUUUUUUUCUCAUGUUCUCCUUUUGCCACAAAAGUAACUGAUUCCAGUUGGCUCUGAUUCCAAGCACUGGCAAUGAGUGACUACCAAGGAGGGACCCUGGAAGUCUGUCUUAAGAAUGUCAUCUUGGCAAGGCUGUUGUGUCUUACCAGGACAAGGAGGGGGCGUGGAAUGAAGUCAAAGGCCCAUUCCACACACUUAGGAGAGAGACAUAUUCUGAGGGGCGUUAGGAGAGGAUGGUCUUUUCUGGAGAACUUUGCCUCAAGCCUUGAAUACAUUCUCUGGAGAGUAGAACAUGGAGAUUUCCUCAGACUUCCAGAGCAUUUUAGUGUUAGCGGAAUAGCCUGGUGUAGUUUUUAUUACAGCAGGCUUGGAGUCUGAAGAUUUAGGUCUGAGAUCUGGCUCUUUUACUUCCUAGCUACGGCUAAGUUGCCUUCUUCACAGCAUAGUUAUAAAGGGCAAAUGGGAAACGUUACGACAACACUUUAUAAACUGUAAAGUUGUGCAAAUAUUAGUUUGUUAUUGUUACCUAGCAAUACUCAGGGAUUGCCCUUGUCUAGGUUCCAGUUAAGUAGCCAGGAUCUGUGGAAUGAAGGCUCGGCAGGUUCAGUUGCAACUGAAGGGUGAAAUCAGAUGAUAAAGGUUCUAAUGCAGGCUUCAGUGUGAUGGCCUGAAAUAACGCUACGGAGGAACCAUGUACAACUUUCCUGAGCAGUUGCUUUGGUGGUAACUACUAGUUUCUUUUCACCAGGGAUUGGGUGAGAGGGAUUGCAUUUUAUACCAGAGAUUGUAUUUAACCUCUUUCCCCACCCCCACCCCAGCAUUUGGUCUUGGCCAUUCCUGAAGGCUUGGCUCCUUCUCCUCCCCUGACCUCAGCCACAGGGGAGUCGCCUCUCCCCAGUGAUCUCUCUGGUCUCCGUCUCCCAAACCUGCUCCCGUUGUCUGCUGGACUCAGAAGCUGACCCUUUGCUUCCGUUCCAGUCCCUGCUCUCCAUUUCCUGCUUGGGCUUGAUGCUUCAGAGUCGUCCUGGCUUCCCAAGGCUCUCGCCUCUCACAUUUUCAUCAGCUGAGAGGGAGGUAGUGAUGUGGGUUCUACCUCCCCAUCCUGGGCAGGCUGCCUUGUGUGGAGCAAGUGUUGGGAAUGGAGGGUCUUCUCAUGGUCCUUAGCAUUUACUGAAAUGCACUUGCUGAUGUACAGGGCAGUCCUCUGCCUGGCUGCUCUCUGGCUCUCGUGACCCUUCCAGCAUUCCUGGGUAAUCUCUCGGAAGCUCCCACAGUUACAUAUCACAUCAUUCUGAGAACAAGGAGGCACUUCUUUCUGUCUGGGAGGAGACCCCUGAGUGUCAGUCAACCCUGGGUGCUUUUCCUACACUGCACUCACUGCUGGGCCCUGCUCACCUACCUUCUUACUGCUGGUGUUUAAAGUCUUCCCAGGGCAGAUUCCCCUAAGAUCACUUGUGCCUUCAGGUCAGUCUUAAGCCUCCAGAUCCUCCCAGACAAGUCAUCCCUACCUCGAGGAUAACUUCCAUCAACUUUCAGGCCUUGCUUCCAGUUUGGAUCCUUCUUCGCCUCUGCUGAGCCUUGGGGCUCUGGCCCCUGUCCUGGGGCUCAACUCCCCCGUCUCAGUGCACUGGGGGCUGGUCUGCUGAGCCUCCUGGGGUCUCCAUGGCUGGAACUGUGAAGAAAGAGCUUCUGGGCAGGAUGCCACUAGCAAGCCUGUCUCCCUAAGAACAACAGGCCCGUUUUCUCUCUAGUUGUUCAGAAACCCUCCCCUUUUCUCACAGCUGUGUGAAAAGAAGCCAAAUGCCCAUUCUUAAUGUGUAACAACUGAGGCUCAUAUGCAAACUGCUGUUAUCUCAGCAGGAGAGCAAUUUGCAACCAUUUAAAAUCCUUUCACUCUUCUCUUCUCCUCCGUGUAUGGUUGUACACACACCAGUCCAUAUUUAUUAGUGCAGAUGGUGAGAAACUCGUCAUUGAAAGGGCUUGGAGCACAGAGGGAAAUGGAUUUUUGGCCUCACUCUGGCCUUAUAAACAAGAAGGCUUGAAUGAUGUUAGGUUCCUGAUUCUUGCCUCAAAAGAGCACAGUUUGCUUCUCUCCAAACACAAGAGGUUGUAAAUUGGUAAUUCAUCUCAACCAAAGGCCACAUGAUGAGCAAUUGAAGAAGUAUUUUUUUCUUUGUGUGCAAAGGAGGAACCCGAAGUCUGAGUGUGGGUUCCAGCUGCCGCUUGCCUUUCACCGUUCGUUCGCAGCCCAGAGACACUGGCACAGGCAGCCCUGGGCUCGGCACCUCCCGCUUCCACCUGGCAGGGCUGGCGCGAGGGGAGAAGUCAGCUCAGCAUUUCCAUGUGACUUCUUCCUCUUCUUUUUUUUUGUAGCUAAAAAAUAAAUCAGUUCUAAUAAAAACAUUUAUACUAUAUUCUUUAUUGUCAGCUAAUCCUGCCCGAACUCAUUAAAUAACAGUGUGUGGGUUAUUUGCUGUCAGUGAAAUUAUCAAAGGCAUUUUUCAGCUGGGGCACCAGGAAAACAUAUGCUUCAAUGCCAACUAAAACAAUAAUGAGGAAAUGUUAUGAUCAGUCUUGACCAGAUGACCCUGUCCGUUUUAGAUUAGUUCUUAAUUUCAGCACAAGGGUCAUCCUGUGAAUUCUUACAAUAAGUCACUGCUCACCACUCACAUGAAAAAGAUGUGACUUAUUAGAAAACUCACUGUACUCAUUGCAGUUAAUGAGAUGUGGAAAGCUUUGUAAUUUGAUUUGCUGGGCCAUAUGCUGUAAAGGGAUACUGCUGAUUUCAUUCCUCCGUAUUUAAUUUAAGCAGUA